RNAcentral lists this ribosomal RNA (489 nucleotides) under uncultured bacterium. RNAcentral's name for it is "partial 16S ribosomal RNA". It matches the Rfam family "Bacterial small subunit ribosomal RNA", at positions 30 to 507 of the family's 1533-position model. The record is from RNAcentral.
UUGAACGCUGGCGGCAGGCCUCACACAUGCACGUCGAACGGUAACAGGAAGCAGCUUGCUGCUUCGCUGACGAGUGGCGGACGGGUGAGUAAUGUCUGGGAAACUGCCUGAUGGAGGGGGAUAACUACUGGAAACGGUAGCUAAUACCGCAUAACGUCGCAAGACCAAAGAGGGGGACCUUAGGGCCUCUUGCCAUCGGAUGUGCCCAGAUGGGAUUAGCUAGUAGGUGGGGUAACGGCUCACCUAGGCGACGAUCCCUAGCUGGUCUGAGAGGAUGACCAGCCACACUGGAACUGAGACACGGUCCAGACUCCCACGGGAGGCAGCAGUGGGGAAUAUUGCACAAUGGGCGCAAGCCUGAUGCAGCCAUGCCGCGUGUAUGAAGAAGGCCUUCGGGUUGUAAAGUACUUUCAGCGGGGAGGAAGGGAGUAAAGUUAAUACCUUUGCUCAUUGACGUUACCCGCAGAAGAAGCACCGGCUAACUCCGUG